This 1311-nucleotide long non-coding RNA is filed under the name Parus major (Great Tit). RNAcentral describes it as "lncRNA (ENSPMJG00000010436.1)". Lineage: Eukaryota; Metazoa; Chordata; Aves; Passeriformes; Paridae. The record is from RNAcentral.
CUCAUUCUCUACUGAUGACCUCUGAAAUCAAAAUCCAGCUCUUCACUCGUGUUCCUCUUUCCCUGGUGGCACCUUCUGCAGCUGUUGUGAUGUGAGAAGCACGGCUGAGCUUUCAGCAAACCAUGGAGCUUCAGCAAGUUGAGUGUAGCAGUCUGGAGGGAUCAGAGGACGAAUCCUGGUCCUGUCCUGCUCAAGGAGAACUGGCCAGCAGAGUGGGAAAAUGGAUCCUCCUGCAGAGAAGCCGCUGUGCAUUCUCAGCUCAGAGAGGUUUCUGCAGCAUUCUGCAGCAGAAGGCACUGGCAGAGAGCUAAAGUAGGUGGGGAGUGUAGCAGGUGAUUUGGAGCAUUCCUGGAAAAGCCAAGUGCAGGUCACAGACAAGCCUUGGAAGUGAGGGUAGAGGGCACUUUGCAGGUACAGUAAUCAAGAAAGAACAGAGCUUACAGCAAAGAGCUUGCAGGAAACUAAGGAGCCAUGGAAAUGUGGAGGACUAGAAAGGAUGACUGAGGCCCAGGCUUCAUCCAGCAAUGAUUUAACUGGAGAGUAGAUCUGUAAAACGUUCUUUUACUUGAAGCUGGUUUUCCAACCUCAAGGUUUCUCUGCUCAGGAAUUGUAGCCUGUUUUAAUCUAUUUUCAAAAAACAUUCAAUUCUGUAUUUUUGCAGUGUAGUGUGUUUACAUUAAAAGAAAGCAGAUUCAUCUCCUAGCCUUGGCUAAAUGACACUUUGUGGAAAGUGUCAUUUGAAGCAGGGCCUAUUAUUUGAAGGAUUUGAGUAAUGAUUUUCCAUUGUAUAAAUCAAAGUAACUCUAAAGUCUGAACAGCCCAAACAGAUACAGAAAGCCCCUGGGUGAUGACUGAAGAUUAGCUUUGUGUUUUUUUUUUUUAAUUUCUGUGCCAAUACAUCCAAAACUGAGAACAGAUGUGCCAGAGCAAGAAUAGAGACUUUCCUUUUCAAAGCCAGUUUGAGAAAGUUCAUUAUUAAAGACUAACUUUGAGGCUCUUGUCAAUAGUUCCAAAAUUAAAUUUGUCAUAACACUUUAUAUAAUGCUAAUGAUAAGCUAUUUAUUGUGUGGAAAAUGUCAGUUUAUUUCUUACUCUCUUCUUUUGAUCUAAUACUUCCUGACAUGUUGAUGCCUCAGUAUUUAGGUCUCUGCAGUGAUUAUCCAGGGGAAACCCAUGUAGCAGUGGAGAGGGGAGAUGUACAAGGAUGAAGUGCAGCACCUGUGGAACUGGUUGAGGAGUACAGUGGGCCAUGAAAUUAAGAAGCUGUUUAUAAUUUUGAUCUGAUAUCACAGUAGAAUGUUUAUUGCUGAU